UAGGCUUAGAUUUGUAAGCCGCUUUGGAUAAAAGCAUCUGCUAAAUGGCAUAUA
Salmo salar (Atlantic salmon) is the source of this 54-nucleotide non-coding RNA. Lineage: Eukaryota; Metazoa; Chordata; Actinopteri; Salmoniformes; Salmonidae. The record is from Rfam.